This 119-nucleotide ribosomal RNA is filed under the name Meriones unguiculatus (Mongolian gerbil). Lineage: Eukaryota; Metazoa; Chordata; Mammalia; Rodentia; Muridae. The record is from RNAcentral.
CUCUAUGGCCAUUUCACCUGGAAUAUGCCCAAUCUUGUCUGAUCUUGGAAGCUAAGCAGGGUCAGGCCUGGUUAGUACUUGGAUGGGAGUCAGCCUGGGAAUACCCAUUGCUGAAGUCU